Non-coding RNA from Microscilla sp. PRE1, 157 nucleotides. The record is from Rfam. Lineage: Bacteria; Pseudomonadati; Bacteroidota; Cytophagia; Cytophagales; Microscillaceae.
UCCUGAGCAAUUGGGAAUCUGAAGGCAAAAUGUGGAUUUGACGUACAGGAAGUAGAUAUUAGGCCUAAGCCUGGGGGUAAGCUUGCAUUGGAAGAUGACGCCCAAAAUCCAUCCGUAACCGAGCAAGGGUAAAUCUGACGAAUCCACAGGAAAGAAG